CCUACGGGUGGCAGCAGUGAGGAAUAUUGGUCAAUGGGCGUAAGCCUGAACCAGCCAAGUCGCGUGAGGGAUGAAGGUUCUGUGGAUCGUAAACCUCUUUUAUAAGGGAAUCAAGUGCGGGACGUGUCCCUUUUUGUAUGUACCUUAUGAAUAAGGAUCGGCUAACUCCGUGCCCGCAGCCGCGGUAAUAAGGAGGAUCCGAGCGUUAUACGGAUUUAUUUGGUUUAAAGGGUGCGUAGGCGGCCUUUUAAGUCAGCGGUGAAAGUCAUGGGACCAACCAGGGAAUUGCCUUUGAAACUGGGAGGAUUGAGUUUGUUUGAGGCAGGCGGAAUGCGUGGUGUAGCGGUGAAAUGCUUAGAUAUCACGCAGAACCCCGAUUGCGAAGGCAGCCGGCCAAGCCAUGACUGACGCUCAUGCACGAAAGCGUGGGUAUCGAACAGGAUUAGAUACCCUGGUAGUC
This 460-nucleotide ribosomal RNA is filed under the name uncultured bacterium. RNAcentral's name for it is "partial 16S ribosomal RNA". It matches the Rfam family "Bacterial small subunit ribosomal RNA", at positions 338 to 795 of the family's 1533-position model. The record is from RNAcentral.